GACGAACGCUGGCGGCGGGCUUAACACAUGCAAGUCGAACGGAAAGGCCCUGCUUUUGUGGGGUGCUCGAGUGGCGAACGGGUGAGUAACACGUGAGUAACCUGCCCUUGACUUUGGGAUAACUUCAGGAAACUGGGGCUAAUACCGGAUAGGAGCUCCUGCUGCAUGGUGGGGGUUGGAAAGUUUCGGCGGUUGGGGAUGGACUCGCGGCUUAUCAGCUUGUUGGUGGGGUAGUGGCUUACCAAGGCUUUGACGGGUAGCCGGCCUGAGAGGGUGACCGGCCACAUUGGGACUGAGAUACGGCACAGACUCCUCCGGGAGGCAGCAGUGGGGAAUAUUGCACAAUGGGCGGAAGCCUGAUGCAGCAACGCCGCGUGCGGGAUGACGGCCUUCGGGUUGUAAACCGCUUUCGCCUGUGACGAAGCGUGAGUGACGGUAAUGGGUAAAGAAGCACCAGCUAACUACGUG
Molecule: ribosomal RNA, 468 nt
Filed under: uncultured bacterium
Lineage: Bacteria
Description: partial 16S ribosomal RNA
Rfam family: Bacterial small subunit ribosomal RNA
Source: RNAcentral